RNAcentral lists this ribosomal RNA (274 nucleotides) under uncultured bacterium. RNAcentral's name for it is "partial 16S ribosomal RNA". It matches the Rfam family "Bacterial small subunit ribosomal RNA", at positions 523 to 796 of the family's 1533-position model. The record is from RNAcentral.
AUACGAAGGGGGCUAGCGUUGUUCGGAAUUACUGGGCGUAAAGCGCACGUAGGCGGAUCGUUAAGUGAGGGGUGAAAUCCCAGGGCUCAACCCUGGAACUGCCUCUCAUACUGGCGAUCUUGAGUCCGAGAGAGGUGAGUGGAACUCCGAGUGUAGAGGUGAAAUUCGUAGAUAUUCGGAAGAACACCAGUGGCGAAGGCGGCUCACUGGCUCGGUACUGACGCUGAGGUGCGAAAGCGUGGGGAGCAAACAGGAUUAGAAACCCCAGUAGUCC